RNAcentral lists this ribosomal RNA (573 nucleotides) under Hepatozoon sp. Its description in RNAcentral is "SSU rRNA". It matches the Rfam family "Eukaryotic small subunit ribosomal RNA", at positions 352 to 915 of the family's 1831-position model. Lineage: Eukaryota; Apicomplexa; Hepatozoidae. The record is from RNAcentral.
GUGACGGUUAACGGGGAAUUAGGGUUCAAUUCCGGAGAGGGAGCCUGAGAAACGGCUACCACAUCUAAGGAAGGCAGCAGGCGCGCAAAUUACCCAAUUCUAACAGCAUAAGAGAGGUAGUGACAAGAAAUAACAGUACAAGGCAGUUAAAAUGCUUUGUAAUUGGAAUGAUAGAAAUUUAAAUACUUUUUAAAGUAUCAAUUGGAGGGCAAGUCUGGUGCCAGCAGCCGCGGUAAUUCCAGCUCCAAUAGCGUAUAUUAAAAUUGUUGCAGUUAAAAAGCUCGUAGUUGAAUUUUUGCUAAAAAUAACCGGUCUGCUUUUAUUAAUAAAAGUGGUAUCUUGGUGUGUUUUUAGCAAUAAUGUCCUUUGAAAUGUUUUUUACUUUAAUGUAAAAAACAAUUUUCAGGAUUUUUACUUUGAGAAAAUUAGAGUGUUUCAAGCAGGCUAACGUUUUGAAUACUGCAGCAUGGAAUAAUAAAAUAGGAUUUUAGUUCUACGUUAUUGGUUUUAAGAACUAAAUUAAUGAUUGAUAGGAGCAGUUGGGGGCAUUUGUAUUUAACUGUCAGAGGUGAA